GAUGAACGCUAGCGACAGGCCUAACACAUGCAAGUCGAGGGGCAGCACAUGAGUAGCAAUACGAUGGUGGCGACCGGCGCACGGGUGAGUAACACGUAUGCAACCUGCCUGUAAGAGGGGAAUAACCCGGAGAAAUUCGGACUAAUACCGCAUAAUACCACGAGACUGCAUGGUUUUUGUGGUUAAACAUUUAUGGCUUACAGAUGGGCAUGCGUAUGAUUAGAUAGUUGGUAGGGUAACGGCCUACCAAGUCUACGAUCAUUAGGGGUUCUGAGAGGAAGGUCCCCCACACUGGUACUGAGACACGGACCAGACUCCUACGGGAGGCAGCAGUGAGGAAUAUUGGUCAAUGGGCGAGAGCCUGAACCAGCCAAGUCGCGUGAAGGAAGAAGGUUCUAUGGAUUGUAAACUUCUUUUGCAGGGGAAUAAAGGACGGUACGUGUACUGUUUUGUAUGUACCUUGCGAAUAAGGAUCGGCUAACUCCGUGCCAGCAGCCGCGGUAAA
RNAcentral lists this ribosomal RNA (505 nucleotides) under uncultured bacterium. RNAcentral describes it as "bacterial SSU rRNA". It matches the Rfam family "Bacterial small subunit ribosomal RNA", at positions 28 to 524 of the family's 1533-position model. The record is from RNAcentral.